AGUUUAGUGACUUUUAAAUCAGUCAGCCAAUCAUUUGUACGUUUUUGUUCUCUUGGCUCCAUUUGAUUUCUGCGUUGCAAAGAAUAUACUCGUGUGAGUCAACUUUAUUUAUUACUUGGAAGUUUUUUUUAAAAAAUUUAAGAAGCCUUUGCCGAAGGUAACCAUGUAUACUCAAAGUAGACUAAAAAAUUUCAAGAAUAAGGGCAGAGACACUGAGACUAUGCGACGGAGAAGAACUGAAGUUAAUGUAGAGCUUAGGAAGCA
Parasteatoda tepidariorum (common house spider) is the source of this 264-nucleotide non-coding RNA. The record is from RefSeq and is a predicted model, not a curated record. NCBI's taxonomy places the organism in Eukaryota, Metazoa, Arthropoda, Arachnida, Araneae, Theridiidae.